CCUACGGGUGGCAGCAGUGAGGAAUAUUGGUCAAUGGACGCAAGUCUGAACCAGCCAUGCCGCGUGCAGGAAGACUGCUCUAUGAGUUGUAAACUGCUUUUGUACGAGGGUAAACGCAGAUACGUGUAUCUGUCUGCACGUAUCGUACGAAUAAGGAUCGGCUAACUCCGUGCCAGCAGCCGCGGUAAUCCGGAGGAGUUAAGCGUUAUCCGGAUUUAUUGGGUGUAAAGGGUGCGUAGUCGGGCGGAUAAGGUAGAGGUGAAAUCCCGGGGCUCAACUUCGGAAUUGCCUCGGAUACUGUUAGGCUAGAGAGCAGGUGCGGUAGGCGGAAUGUAUGGUGUAGCGGUGAAAUGCUUAGAGAUCA
RNAcentral lists this ribosomal RNA (364 nucleotides) under uncultured bacterium. RNAcentral's name for it is "partial 16S ribosomal RNA". It matches the Rfam family "Bacterial small subunit ribosomal RNA", at positions 338 to 699 of the family's 1533-position model. The record is from RNAcentral.